Panthera uncia (snow leopard) is the source of this 576-nucleotide long non-coding RNA. RefSeq lists it as uncharacterized. NCBI's taxonomy places the organism in Eukaryota, Metazoa, Chordata, Mammalia, Carnivora, Felidae. The record is from RefSeq and is a predicted model, not a curated record. The transcript is spliced from 3 exons.
UAGAGGCCGAACGUUCUUGGGGAUUGGCCACUCUGGCGAAAGGACGUGGGGCUGGCGGAGCAAGUUCGCAGGCUGCUCCAGCUGGGUGGAGGGUGGGCUCUUCUCCGCGGUUCUCCUGUCAGUCAUUGGCUCCCUGCGGUUUCCUUGGGGACGUGGCGCCGCCGCCCGCCCAAGGUUUUUUCCGGCUGGUCUAAAGGCCUUGGGGAACCGCUCUGAACCCAGCGGGACGGUGCCAGGGGAGACUGCGGGACUCUCGACCCGCUGCAGACUUAGGAGAUGCCUGAGACAAGGAGACCCAUUUCUCAGGGCAAAAAGAAAAGGAGGUGACAGGCACUGAGACCACUGAAGGGAUCCCAUGGCUAGGAUCAGUUUUUCCUACCUCUGCCCAGCCUUCUGGUACUUCACUGUGCCCACAGUGAACCCAUUUCCCCGCCAGAGGGUGGCAUUCCUAGGACUCUUCUUCAUAUCCUGCCUCCUUUUACUUAUGUUAAUCAUGGACUUUCGACAUUGGGGUGCUUCAUUGCCACGAGAUAGGCAAUAUGAAAGGUGAGUCAACCUUAGAUCACUUUGAUCAGA